RNAcentral lists this ribosomal RNA (543 nucleotides) under uncultured bacterium. Its description in RNAcentral is "bacterial SSU rRNA". It matches the Rfam family "Bacterial small subunit ribosomal RNA", at positions 8 to 551 of the family's 1533-position model. The record is from RNAcentral.
AGAGUUUGAUCCUGGCUCAGAUUGAACGCUGGCGGCAUGCCUACACAUGCAAGUCGAACGGCAGCGCGGGGCAACCUGGCGGCGAGUGGCGAACGGGUGAGUAAUAUAUCGGAACGUACCCUGGAGUGGGGGAUAACGUAGCGAAAGUUACGCUAAUACCGCAUAACACCGAGAGGUCAAAGGGGGCUCGCAAGAUCUUCCGCCGCAGGAGGGGUCCGCGUCCGAUUAGCUAGUUGGUGGGGUAAUGGCCUACCAAGGCGACGAUCGGUAGCCGGCCUGAGAGGGUGAUCGGCCACACUGGAACUGAGACACGGUCCACACUCCUACGGGAGGCAGCAGUGGGGUUUUUUGCGCAAUGGGCUAACGCCUGACGCAGCAACGCCGCGUGGAGGAUGAAGGUCUUUGGAUUGUAAACUCCUGUCAGCAGGGAAAAAGCGACCUGACCUAAUACGUCAGGGUGUUGAUUGUACCUGCAGAGGAAGCCCCGGCUAUCUCUGUGCCAGCAGCCGCGGUAAUACAGAGGGGGCAAGCGCCACUCAGAAU